Myxocyprinus asiaticus (Chinese sucker) is the source of this 6137-nucleotide RNA transcript. It is a transcript of the gene named serine/threonine-protein kinase MARK1-like, with no coding region annotated. The transcript has 18 exons. Lineage: Eukaryota; Metazoa; Chordata; Actinopteri; Cypriniformes; Catostomidae. The record is from RefSeq and is a predicted model, not a curated record.
UGCGUCCUGUCCGCGCAUCCGCAGCGCCGCGCACGCUCGCUCUCCCUCUCCAGCUCAGUCGCGGGCCGCUCCUGGAUAUGUGUCUGCUGUAUCGUCGCUGAAAGGCCGGGAGAAAUGCCGGUGUGAAUGAGGAUCGGAUACUCCUGUCUUCCGCGUCAUCUCGCCUGAGCCCUGGCCCGCUGCUCUGGUUUACCGAGCGUCGGUGCUGGAGCGAGCGGCCUGUAAACACAAGAUGUCGACCAGAACGCCACUGCCCACCGUGAACGAGCGCGACGCCGAGAAUCAUACAUCUGUUGAUGGCUACACGGACACACCAGCACCACCCACAAAAUCAGCGAGUCGGCAGAGUCUCCCACGCUGUCGAAACUCGGUGGCGUCCAUUACAGACGAACAUCCUCACAUCGGCAACUACAGACUGCUAAAAACCAUCGGCAAAGGCAACUUUGCCAAAGUCAAACUCGCCCGCCAUGUCUUAACAGGACGAGAGGUAGCAGUGAAGAUCAUUGAUAAAACACAACUGAACCCCACGAGUCUACAGAAGCUCUUUCGUGAAGUGAGGAUUAUGAAGGUCUUAAAUCAUCCUAAUAUAGUUAAGCUAUUUGAAGUCAUAGAAACAGAGAAGACACUUUAUUUAAUAAUGGAGUAUGCAAGUGGAGGUGAGGUGUUUGACUACUUAGUUGCACAUGGGAGAAUGAAGGAGAAAGAAGCAAGAGCCAAGUUUCGCCAGAUUGUGUCUGCAGUGCAAUAUUGCCAUCAGAAGAGAAUAGUCCACAGGGAUCUCAAGGCUGAGAACUUGCUGCUAGAUGCCGACAUGAAUAUAAAGAUAGCUGACUUUGGCUUCAGUAAUGAGUUCACAAUUGGCAGUAAGUUGGACACGUUCUGUGGCAGUCCUCCAUAUGCCGCUCCUGAGCUCUUCCAGGGAAAGAAGUAUGAUGGGCCGGAGGUGGACGUCUGGAGUCUGGGGGUCAUACUAUACACACUUGUCAGCGGGUCACUUCCCUUUGAUGGGCAGAACUUGAAGGAGCUGAGAGAAAGAGUUUUGCGAGGGAAGUACAGAAUUCCAUUCUACAUGUCUACAGACUGUGAAAACCUGCUGAAGAAACUGCUGGUGCUGAAUCCAGGCAAACGUGGCAGUCUAGAGCAAAUCAUGAAGGAUCGCUGGAUAAACGUGGCACAUGAGGAGGAGGAACUCAAACCCUACACAGAACCAGAACCAGACUUCAGUGACACCAAACGCAUCGAGCUGAUGAUCACCAUGGGUUUCCCUAAAGAUGAGAUCACAGACGCAUUGGUGGGGCAGAAGUAUGAUGAGGUCAUGGCCACAUAUCUGCUGCUGGGCAGGAAACCCGCAGAGUUUGAAGGGAGCGAAUCGUUGUCCAGCACAAACCUGUGUCAGAGGUCGCGACCCAGCAGUGACUUGAACAACAGUUCCACACAGUCACCCGCACACUCCAAAGUCCAGCGAAGUAUCUCAGCCACGCAGAAACAACGACGAUUCAGCGAUCACGUUGCCCCAUUGAUUCCUCCUACCGUGUCUUACACUAAACGCUCUCAGGCCAACAGUGUGGAGGGAGAGAAGAAGGAAGAGUGGGACGCGUCCCGUAAGCAGCCCUCCUCCAGCUCUAAAGGGGACAUGGCCGCCUCGCCACUCGUCGCACAGGAACGCAGGAAGUCCUCCACAGCUUCAGGGAAUAGUUCUGCUGGUAGCAUGACGAGAAGAAAUACAUACGUGUGUGAGCGCUCCAGUACAGACCGAUACUCAGCCAUACCCAACGGCAAAGACAGCAGUUUGACAGAGAUGUCGACAUCUGCAAGCGGUUCUUCCUCUGUGUCUCCAGGAGCAGCGUCUGUGCUGGCGUCCACUCGAUCACGUCACGUCAAGUCCAUGUCCGCCUCAGGACACCCCACGAAAUCUCCACUACCACCCAUCGAGGACAACACUGAAUACAAGGGCUCUAGCUCCAGGGCUCCGUCCACGUCUCCGUCAGCUCACAGUAUCAGCAGUAUGACUCCAGAUCGAACACGUUUUCCUCGCGGAACUUCCAGCCGCAGCACCUUUCACGGGGCACAGCUCAGAGACCGUCGCAACGCCACCUAUAACGGUCCACCCGCCUCACCCACUCUCUCCCAUGACACAGGCACUCUCGCUCAGGCACGUAGAGGCACCUCGUCUGGAUUUAUCAGCAAGCUCACCUCCAAGUUUGUGCGGAGAACUCUGUCUUUCAGAGCAUGGAGGUAGGAGAAUAGUUUGACUCUUUCCCCCUCAGAUUUCCAUAUGAAAAUGUGUCUCCUCACACACACCCUUCUUCCCAGAGAUUGACUUGUGUUGGGCCUGUGUGUGUCUCACACUAAUGAUCUGUACGUCUGUUACCUCUGUGAACGCUUGCACGGCCUGCAGGCUGACUUCCUCUUGAUGAAAUUAUCACUUCCUGCCCCUGUGUGUCAUCAGAGUUGACCUACUGUUAAAUACUUAAUGACUCCAGGUCUAGUUGUGUUGAAUGUGUGAAUGCUGGUGGCCUGUAGUGCUCCUGCACCUGUACCCUUCAUUCUCCCUCUCAGGUCGAAAGAAAGUUUCCCUGUUGCCACCUUUGUCUGUCUAUCAAAAUCACAUUAUAGAGGAAGACAAUGAAAAUAUGUUCACUUCUUUUAUAGAAGAAGAAUUACAAACGUAAUUAUUAGGGCUGCCAAAGUUACUAUCGCAUUAACUUUUGAGAUUAAUGAAAUCUGUUUUAUGUUGUUGAACUGAUUUAAUAUAUUUAAACAGUUUGACCAAAAAAUAUUUCAUUGUUCUGAGUGAUUUCUAAAGACCCUGUUUAUUAUUAAAUGAUGGAGAAUAAACCUUCACAAUAGCUUUUUCUUAUAAACUCAGCAAAAAAGAAACGUCCUCUCAUUUUCAACUGCUUUUAUUUUCAGCAAACUUAACAUGUGUAAAUAUUUGUAUGAACAUAAAAAGAUUCAAUAAACAGAACAAGUUUCACAGACAUGUGACUAACAGAAAUGGAAUAAUGUGUCCCAGAACAAAGGGGGGGGUCAAAAUCAAAAGUAACAGUCAGUAUCUGGUGUGGCCACCAGCUGCAUUAAGUAUUGCAGUGCAUCUCCUCCUCAUGGACUGCACCAGAUUUGCCAGUUCUUGCUGUGAGAUGUUACCCCACUCUUCCACCAAGGCAUUUGUAAGUUCCCGGACAUUUCUGGGGGGAAUGGCCCUAGCCCUCACCCUCUGAUCCAACAGGUUCCAGACGUGCUCAAUGGGAUUGAGAUCCGGGCUCUUCGCUGGCCAUGGCAGAACACUGACAUUCAUGUCUUGCAGGAAAUCAUGUACAGAAAGAGCAGUAUGGCUGGUGGCAUUGUCAUGUUGGAGGGUCAUGUCAGGAUGAGCCUGCAGAAAGGGUACCACAUGAAGGAGGAGGAUGUCUUCCCUGUAACGCACAGCAUUGAGAUUGUCUGCAAUGACAACAAGCUCAGUCCGAUGAUGCUGUGACACACCGCCCCAGACCAUGACAGACCCUCCUCAUCCAAAUUGAUCCCGCUCCAGAGUACAGGCCUCAGUGUAAUGCUCAUUCCUUCGACGAUAAACGCGAGUCCGACCAUCACCCCUGGUGAGACAAUACUGCGACUCGUCAGCGAAGAGCACUUUUUGCCAGUCCUGUCUGGUCCAGCAAAGGUGGGUUUGUGCCUAUAGGUGACGUUGUUGCCAGUGAUGUCUUGUAAGGAUCUGCAUUACAACAGGUCUACAAGUCCUCAGUCCAGCCUCUCUCAGCCUAUUGCGGACAGUCUGAGCACUGAUGGAGGGAUUGUGCAUUCCUGGUGUAACUCGGGCAGUUGUUGUUGCCAUCCUGUACCUGUCCCGCAGGUGUGAUAUUCGGAUGUACCGAUCCUGUGCAGGUGUUGUUACACAUGGUCUGCCACUGCGAGAAUGAUCAGCUGUCCUUCCUGUCUCACUGUAGCGCUGUCUUAGGCAUCUCACAGUAUGGAUAUUGCAAUUUAUUGCCCUGGCCACAUCUGCAGUCCUCAUGCCUCCAUGCAGCAUGCCUAAGGCACGUUCAUGCAGAUGAGCAGGGACCCUGGGCAUCUUUCUUUUGGUGUUUUUCAGAGUCAGUAGAAAGGUCUCUUUAGUGUCCUAAGUUUUUACAACUGUGACCUUAAUUGCCUACCGUCUGUAAGCUGUUAGUGUCUUAACGACCAUUCCACAGGUGCAUGUUCAUUAUUUGUUUAUGGAUCAUUGAAAAAGCAUGGAAAACAUUGUUUAAACUCUUUAAAAUAAAGAUCUGUAAAGUUACUUGUAUUUUUACAAAAUUAUCUUUAAAAUACAUUGUCCUGAAAAAGGGAUGUUUAUUUUUUUACUGAGUUUAUAUAAUCCAGAUGGGACAAUUAACAAAACCCAUUUGCUUUAAAUAUAUUAUAGAGCUUUUCUAAGUUAUAAAUAUAUAAAGGAUUUAAAUUGUGUUAAAUUGACAGCCCUACUUGAAUCAUAAAUUAAUUGUUAAUACAUUUUGGCCAAUAGGUGGCACUGUCAUCAAAUUUAGAUGGUAUUUUCAGGGCAUGGUCACAAUAACACUUGCAAAGUUUCAUUUCAGUACGUUAAAGCAUUGCCUAGAUACAGCCUAAGAUCCUUUUUGGCAUCUUAUCAAAUUCAGUGAUGUAUUACAUGAGAACUGUCUGGUCUAUCAAAAAGCUUUAAAUAACUUUUUUGCCAACAUGGUCUGAACAUGAGCUGGCCCAAAUUUGGGUAAGACCUGUUAAACACUGUAAAAGGAGUUAAAAAAGUAGGUUUUCAAUUAAAUUCAAAAUGGUGGACAGAAAGUAUGGCCAACUAUGGCAAAAUUACUAUCAUUGUCCUGUGCAUGAAUGUAAAAUGGCCCCAAACUUCUCAGGUAGCUUCAGGGCAUGGUGCCGAUAAUAUGCGUGAUGAUAUGCCAAUGCGUUUGUAAAGUACAGCAUUUUAUGUCAAAAUUCUAAAUGGCCGUUGUAUGAACAUUGGAUAUCAUUCAACUCUGUAAAACCCAAGGUGUUAUGAUUUAAAACCAAAGUAUUCAAAAGUUAUAAGCAAAACAGCUAUUUUUCAUAUUUCUUGACCAGUAGGUGGCACUGUUCUCAAACUGUUUAGGUAUCCUCAGGUCAUGACGGCUAUGACAUAUACCAAGUUUCGUUUUAAUACGGCAAGGUAUUGCCGAGCUGUAGCUUCACGACCUCUUUGGCGUGCUCGCCACCAAAUUCAUUGAAGCAUUAUAUGAGAACGGUUUUGAUAGCUUUUUGUCAUGAGUAUCCCUAGAUGAUACCUGCCAAAUUUUGUGCCAAUUGGACACAACCUACAAGGAGUUUAAAAAAGUAGGUUUUUCUGAAAAUGUAUAAAUAUAAUCUUAGCAUAAACAUAAGCAAAUUUGAACUGUUGGUGUUGCUAGAGGAUUUGAGUCCCAAAUUUGCUAUGGUAGAAGUUCAGACUAUCCUCUAUCAGUGUGCCAGAUUUCAUAACUUUCCUCCAAACAGUUUUAUGGCCUGCCAAAGACUUCAAUGGAGUAAGAAACAAUAGGUGCCAACGCAUCUUUGUUGCUUGGCCCCAAUAAACAAUUAUUUCACCAAAUAAUGUAGUUAAUUAUUGUUGUAAGUUGUUUAUGGUUGCCAAGCAAUGUAGCAACUUGGCGCAUAAAUAUAGAAUGUACAGAGAUGUGUUUAUUGACCCUUUACAACAUCUUCAAACACAGCUCAUCCAAUCAGAAUUUAAAGUCAGACCUAUUCGGUUUUUGAAGUGUAUAGAUUGUAUAAAAAAAGUGUAUAGAGGCAAAUUCAGCAAUAUAAAAUUUUAGAUUGUGUAAACAACAAAAUCCUGAGAUUAAUCCUGAUUAUUUUGAACUAUUGACAGCCCUAGUAUUUAUAUACAUUUUUGUUAAACUUUUUGUCCAUUUUCUUUUGGUAAUGUUGAGUUGUAUAUAGCUGUGGUUUUAGAUUUUGUAUUAUUUUGUUUCUGAAUAAACUCUUUGGAUAUUUUCCAAGGUUACCCAGUGAAGGAGAGGCCCAUGGUCGGGCGUACAGCUUGAGGAGUGGAUCUGGUGAACCGAAGGAAGAGGGUCGUGACUCCAAGCCUAGAUCACUGCGUUUCACGUGGAGUAUGAAGACCACCUCGUCAAUGGAGCCCGGCGACA